GAGUUUGAUCAUGGCUCAGGAUGAACGCUGGCGGCGUGCUUAACACAUGCAAGUCGAACGAAGCGCCUUAUUUGAUUUUCUUCGGAACUGAAGAUUUGGUGACUGAGUGGCGGACGGGUGAGUAACGCGUGGGUAACCUGCCCUGUACAGGGGGAUAACAAUCAGAAAUGACUGCUAAUACCGCAUAAGACCACAGCACCGCAUGGUGCAGGGGUAAAAACUCCGGUGGUACAGGAUGGACCCGCGUCUGAUUAGCUGGUUGGUGAGGUAACGGCUCACCAAGGCGACGAUCAGUAGCCGGCUUGAGAGAGUGAACGGCCACAUUGGGACUGAGACACGGCCCAAACUCCUACGGGAGGCAGCAGUGGGGAAUAUUGCACAAUGGGGGAAACCCUGAUGCAGCAACGCCGCGUGAGUGAAGAAGUAUUUCGGUAUGUAAAGCUCUAUCAGCAGGGAAGAAAGUGACGGUACCUGACUAAGAAGCCCCGGCUAACUACGUGCCAGCCGCCGCAGU
Molecule: ribosomal RNA, 514 nt
Filed under: uncultured microorganism
Description: bacterial SSU rRNA
Rfam family: Bacterial small subunit ribosomal RNA
Source: RNAcentral